This is a long non-coding RNA of Uranotaenia lowii, 467 nucleotides long. RefSeq lists it as uncharacterized. Lineage: Eukaryota; Metazoa; Arthropoda; Insecta; Diptera; Culicidae. The record is from RefSeq and is a predicted model, not a curated record. The transcript is spliced from 3 exons.
GUAUCACAUCAAGUAGUCAAUGUUUAUCCAAAUUGACAUUUGAUUUGCUGUACGUAUCAAAAAGUUGAUGGAGGUUUGCAAGGCUCAGGAAGAUUUGUUUUUCUGGGCCAUUUCGCCCAAGGACACCGGCGAGUAUGAAAAAUUUAGAAAGAUUUGAAACCAUCCGAAUGAAAAGGAAGGAACUGUUACGGAUAGAAAACACACACUGGAUGUUUCUUCCUAAGGAUACGGAACCUCGAACUUCAAAUCUUACUGAUACGGUGCCUCCAUUUCCGUUGAAAAAUUGUCAGCCAAGAAAGUUUGAACUGCUAUCGUUUCAUGAAAAAUUCUGUGAUCAGAAGUGGUCAGAAGUGGUCAAGUGCAAUGUUUCGACAGGAUUUCCAUAGUUUCAGCUAAAUCGGUGCUGCUGGAUAUUUUUGGCACGGGAAUCUGUCUUCUUGAAGGAUUAAUGAGAGAGAACUUCCUAU